Molecule: ribosomal RNA, 323 nt
Filed under: uncultured bacterium
Lineage: Bacteria
Description: bacterial SSU rRNA
Rfam family: Bacterial small subunit ribosomal RNA
Source: RNAcentral
GAUGAACGCUGGCGGCGUGCUUAACACAUGCAAGUCGAACGGAACUGUUUGAAUGAAGUUUUCGGAUGGAUUUUAAACAGUUUAGUGGCGGACGGGUGAGUAACGCGUGGGUAACCUGCCUCGCACUGGGGGAUAACGGCUGGAAACGGUCGCUAAUACCGCAUGAAAUGUUCGGAUGGCAUCGUCUGAACAUCAAAGAUUUAUCGCUGAAAGAUGGGCUCGCGUCUGAUUAGAUAGUUGGUGAGGUAACGGCUCACCAAGUCGACGAUCAGUAGCCGGACUGAGAGGUUGAACGGCCACAUUGGGACUGAGAUACGGCCCAG